This 544-nucleotide ribosomal RNA is filed under the name uncultured bacterium. Its description in RNAcentral is "bacterial SSU rRNA". It matches the Rfam family "Bacterial small subunit ribosomal RNA", at positions 777 to 1320 of the family's 1533-position model. The record is from RNAcentral.
AAUAGAUACCCUGGUAGUCCACCCCGUAAACGUUGGGAACUAGUUGUGGGGACCAUUCCACGGUUUCCGUGACGCAGCUAACGCAUUAAGUUCCCCGCCUGGGGAGUACGGCCGCAAGGCUAAAACUCAAAGGAAUUGACGGGGACCCGCACAAGCGGCGGAGCAUGCGGAUUAAUUCGAUGCAACGCGAAGAACCUUACCAAGGCUUGACAUAUACGAGAACGGGCCAGAAAUGGUCAACUCUUUGGACACUCGUAAACAGGUGGUGCAUGGUUGUCGUCAGCUCGUGUCGUGAGAUGUUGGGUUAAGUCCCGCAACGAGCGCAACCCUCGUUCUAUGUUGCCAGCACGUAAUGGUGGGAACUCAUGGGAUACUGCCGGGGUCAACUCGGAGGAAGGUGGGGAUGACGUCAAAUCAUCAUGCCCCUUAUGUCUUGGGCUUCACGCAUGCUACAAUGGCCGGUACAAAGGGCUGCAAUACCGUAAGGUGGAGCGAAUCCCAAAAAGCCGGUCCAGUUCGGAUUGAGGUCUGCAACUCGACCUCA